ACAGCCCAGGUGAGAAAGCAAAGGUCCACAGAAGGAGAUGGCGUGCCCUGCCAAAUUCAGUUUUCCUCUGCUACAAGCCACAAUUCUAUAUACAAACCUCGGUAAAAGAAGAAAAGCAAUACUUCUCCUGCCUACUGCACAGACUUAUACUGAGUGAAGAGGUGAAUUUGCAGGAUGAAGCUAGAAAGGAGAUUUAUAAAGGACUUGGUACUUUCCUUGAGGAAGAGUUUACCCGCCAUGGACAUCAGAUUUGCCCAAAUGAUCUGAUUCACCAUCAGGUUUUGGCAAAAAACAAAUGUAUUUCAAGUAAGCAGUCAUUACAGAGAUUUG
Molecule: long non-coding RNA, 330 nt
Filed under: Equus caballus (horse)
Lineage: Eukaryota; Metazoa; Chordata; Mammalia; Perissodactyla; Equidae
Description: lncRNA (ENSECAG00000043713.2)
Source: RNAcentral